UUUUCUGCCACCGAAUACAUUAGCAUGGGAUAAUGGAAUAGGACCCUGUCCUCCUAUCUUCAGUUGGUUAACUUGUAGAGGAUCAGGGUAAUGAUUAAUAGGGAUAGUUGGGGGCAUUAAUAUUUAAUUGUCAGAGGUGAAAUUCUUGGAUUUAUGAAAGAUUAACUUCUGCGAAAGCAUCUGCCAAGGAUGUUUUCAUUAAUCAAGAACGAAAGUUAGGGGAUCGAAGACGAUCAGAUACCGUCGUAGUCUUAACCAUAAACGAUGCCGACCAGCGAUUAGGAGACGUUGAAUACAAAACACCACCAUACAUAAUUCAGUAUAUGGCCAGUCAAAUGGCUGUAUAUUGUUUGUGUAUGGCACCGGUGAAUGACUCCCCUAGCAGCUUGUGAGAA
This 395-nucleotide ribosomal RNA is filed under the name Acanthamoeba sp. RNAcentral's name for it is "SSU rRNA". It matches the Rfam family "Eukaryotic small subunit ribosomal RNA", at positions 785 to 1096 of the family's 1831-position model. The record is from RNAcentral. Lineage: Eukaryota; Discosea; Longamoebia; Acanthamoebidae.